Molecule: long non-coding RNA, 101 nt
Organism: Alosa alosa (allis shad)
Lineage: Eukaryota; Metazoa; Chordata; Actinopteri; Clupeiformes; Clupeidae
Exons: 2
Source: RefSeq, a predicted model, not a curated record
CCCUGCCUUGAAGUGCAUUUGUUGUUUGACUUAAAUCGACAGCUGUUGAAGUGGCAUACAAUGGACGGACCUGACAGGCAAAUCAUUUACUGCCUUAAAUG